GGGGUGUUAGCUCAUUGGUAGAGCGUUCCCUUAGCAUGGGAGAGGUAGCGUGUUCGAUUCAUGCACACUCCA
Non-coding RNA from Serendipita sp. 399, 72 nucleotides. The record is from the annotation of a GenBank genome assembly. Lineage: Eukaryota; Fungi; Basidiomycota; Agaricomycetes; Sebacinales; Serendipitaceae.